RNAcentral lists this ribosomal RNA (486 nucleotides) under uncultured bacterium. Its description in RNAcentral is "bacterial SSU rRNA". It matches the Rfam family "Bacterial small subunit ribosomal RNA", at positions 10 to 507 of the family's 1533-position model. The record is from RNAcentral.
AGUUUGAUCAUGGCUCGAGGACGACGCUGGCGGCGUGCUUAACACAUGCAAGUCGAACGGAAAGGCCCUGCUUUUGUGGGGUGCUCGAGUGGCGAACGGGUGAGUAACACGUGAGUAACCUGCCCUUGACUUUGGGAUAACUUCAGGAAACUGGGGCUAAUACCGGAUAGGAGCUCCUGCUGCAUGGUGGGGGUUGGAAAGUUUCGGCGGUUGGGGAUGGACUCGCGGCUUAUCAGCUUGUUGGUGGGGUAGUGGCUUACCAAGGCUUUGACGGGUAGCCGGCCUGAGAGGGUGACCGGCCACAUUGGGACUGAGAUACGGCCCAGACUCCUACGGGAGGCAGCAGUGGGGAAUAUUGCACAAUGGGCGGAAGCCUGAUGCAGCAACGCCGCGUGCGGGAUGACGGCCUUCGGGUUGUAAACCGCUUUCGCCUGUGACGAAGCGUGAGUGACGGUAAUGGGUAAAGAAGCACCGGCUAACUACGUG